Molecule: ribosomal RNA, 478 nt
Filed under: uncultured bacterium
Lineage: Bacteria
Description: partial 16S ribosomal RNA
Rfam family: Bacterial small subunit ribosomal RNA
Source: RNAcentral
GACGAACGCUGGUGGCGUGCUUAACACAUGCAAGUCGAACGGGAUUUAGUAAACAGAAGCCUCGGUGGAAGAUUACUAAUGAGAGUGGCGAACGGGUGAGUAACGCGUGAGCAACCUGCCUAUGACAGUGGGAUAGCCUCGGGAAACCGGGAUUAAUACCGCAUAACAUCGUAGAAACACAUGUUUUAACGGUCAAAGAUUUAUCGGUCAUAGAUGGGCUCGCGUCGGAUUAGCUAGUUGGGGAGAUGACCGCCCACCAAGGCGACGAUCAGUAGCCGGUAUGAGAGGAUGAACGGCCACAUUGGAACUGAGACACGGUCCAAACUCCUACGGGAGGCAGCAGUGGGGAAUAUUGCACAAUGGGGGAAACCAUGAUGCAGCGACGCCGCGUGAACGAAGAAGGUAUUCGUAUCGUAAAGUUCUGUCAUAUGGGAAGAUAAUGACAGUACCAUAGAAGAAAGCGCCGGCUAAAUACGUG